Molecule: ribosomal RNA, 749 nt
Filed under: uncultured bacterium
Lineage: Bacteria
Description: partial 16S ribosomal RNA
Rfam family: Bacterial small subunit ribosomal RNA
Source: RNAcentral
AUCCUGGCUCAGGAUGAACGCUAGCGGCAGGCUUAAUACAUGCAAGUCGUGGGGCAAGCGUUGGUAGCAAUACCGGCGCCUAGACCGGCAAACGGGUGAGGAACACGUACACAACCUCCCUUCGAGUGGAGAAUAACCCGGGGAAACCUGGACUAAUACUCCGUAACAUGUUGAAAAGGCAUCUUUUUAAUAUUAUAGCAGCAAUGCGCUUGAAGACGGGUGUGCGUAUGAUUAGGUAGUUGGCGGGGUAACGGCCCACCAAGCCUACGAUCAUUAACUGGUGUGAGAGCACGAUCAGUCACACGGGCACUGAGACACGGGCCCGACUCCUACGGGAGGCAGCAGUAAGGAAUAUUGGUCAAUGGACGAAAGUCUGAACCAGCCAUGCCGCGUGGAGGAUGAAGGUCCUCUGGAUUGUAAACUUCUUUUAUAUGGGGCGAAAAAAGGCUUUUCUAAGUCGUCUGACGGUACCAUAUGAAUAAGCACCGGCUAACUCCGUGCCAGCAGCCGCGGUAAUACGGAGGGUGCAAGCGUUAUCCGGAUUCACUGGGUUUAAAGGGAGCGUAGGUGGGCUGGUAAGUCAGUGGUGAAAUCUCCGAGCUUAACUCGGAAAUUGCCGUUGAUACUGUAUGUCUUGAGUUUAUGUUGAAGGUGGGCGGAAAUGUAGUCAUGUAAGCGGUGAAAUGCAUAAGAAGAUGCUCCAGGAAACACCCGAUAUGCGAAGGCAGCUCAGCUAACGUUAAAGAACU